RNAcentral lists this ribosomal RNA (446 nucleotides) under uncultured bacterium. Its description in RNAcentral is "bacterial SSU rRNA". It matches the Rfam family "Bacterial small subunit ribosomal RNA", at positions 355 to 825 of the family's 1533-position model. The record is from RNAcentral.
UGGGGAAUAUUGCACAAUGGGGGAAACCCUGAUGCAGCGACGCCGCGUGAACGAAGAAGGUAUUCGUAUCGUAAAGUUCUGUCCUAUGGGAAGAUAAUGACAGUACCAUAGAAGAAAGCUCCGGCUAAAUACGUGCCAGCAGCCGCGGUAAUACGUAUGGAGCGAGCGUUGUCCGGAAUUAUUGGGCGUAAAGGGUACGCAGGCGGUUUAAUAAGUCGAAUGUUAAAGAUCGGGGCUCAACCCCGUAAAGCAUUGGAAACUGAUAAACUUGAGUAGUGGAGAGGAAAGUGGAAUUCCUAGUGUAGUGGUGAAAUACGUAGAUAUUAGGAGGAAUACCAGUAGCGAAGGCGACUUUCUGGACACAAACUGACGCUGAGGUACGAAAGCGUGGGGAGCAAACAGGAUUAGAUACCCUCGUAGUCCCUGAGCGGGCUGGCAAGGCGCAU